Pogona vitticeps (central bearded dragon) is the source of this 680-nucleotide non-coding RNA. NCBI's taxonomy places the organism in Eukaryota, Metazoa, Chordata, Lepidosauria, Squamata, Agamidae. The record is from RefSeq and is a predicted model, not a curated record.
GAGGCGAGGAGGAGGAGGAGAAGCGCGGCUCCGGCUGGCCGGCACCGCUGCCGCUAAGACUGGCUGUGGUGGCGGGGAUGAGCCCAAGCCGGGAAGAGGGACCAGGGCUUCGGUGCGCCUGCAAGAGGGCGACGCUUCUCGCCUCCUCCUUUGCCUUCGCGGACGCCGCCGCCGCCGCCGCCGCCUUGCAUCCCGCUUCGCCUCGCCAGCAGGAGGAGCGUCCAUGUGCUUUCGUUUUCCCCUCGUCCCGUCGUGGCCUUUGUGGAAUAGGAGCACUCUUCGUUUGAAAUGUAACCGGCUGGAGCGGGAAGCCGAAGACUCCUGAAGGUUUCCGGAGAGGUCCGAGCUGGCUGCAUCGAGUUUUUGAAGAAAGUGGACUGUACUCUUACUCCUUUUUUGGAAACUUUUAGGAGUCUUGCAUUUAUAACCCUCCAGUCAUCGUUACUUUUUCAGAUGUCAAAAAUUGAAAAUCGGUGGGGAUAAUAAAAGGCAGCUGAUUUCCUGGCCCUUGACAAUCUAGUUAAGCAUCUGACUGAGAAUGUUGGCACCAGCGUUGGAGGAAUCACUGAGCCUCAACUCAAGCUCUCUGUCCUGAGACGCAACAACAGGAUGUGCCUUGGAAACGAGUCUCAGGGUGGAGAAUUGGGAUCUGAAUCCAAAUCUACAUACUCAGGGUAAGA